CUUCGGGUUGUAAGCACUUUAAGUUGGGAGGAAAAGCUGAGGGUUAUAGCCUUUAGUGUUGACGUUACCAACAGAAUAAGCACCGGCUAACUCCGUGCCAGCAGCCGCGGUAAUACGGAGGGUGCAAGCGUUAAUCGGAAUUACUGGGCGUAAAGCGCGCGUAGGCGGUUUGUUAAGUCAGAUGUGAAAUCCCCGGGCUCAACCUGGGAAUGGCAUUUGAGACUGGCAGGCUAGAGUAUGGUAGAGGUGAGUGGAAUUUCAGGUGUAGCGGUGAAAUGCGUAGAGAUCUGAAGGAACAUCAGUGGCGAAGGCGACUCACUGGGCCAUUACUGACGCUGAGGUGCGAAAGCGUGGGUAGCAAACAGGAUUAGAUACCCUGGUAGUCCACGCCCUAAACGAUGUCAACUAGGUGUAUGGAGAAUUUAUUCUUUGUGUAUCGAAGCUAACGCGAUAAGUUGACCGCCUGGGGAGUACGGUCGCAAGACUAAAACU
This 492-nucleotide ribosomal RNA is filed under the name Methylophaga sp. ME05. RNAcentral describes it as "bacterial SSU rRNA". It matches the Rfam family "Bacterial small subunit ribosomal RNA", at positions 416 to 901 of the family's 1533-position model. The record is from RNAcentral. Lineage: Bacteria; Pseudomonadati; Pseudomonadota; Gammaproteobacteria; Thiotrichales; Piscirickettsiaceae.